AUAAAAAUCAAUACAAAAGGUGUCAGUUCACAUUGAGAUAGUCUUGGUUCUAUAAGCGUUUUAACGAAUGACAGGGCAUAUGUAUUUUGUCAACAAUGAAUAUGGUCACCAGACUUCAGUAGAAAAUAAAAGUCAUGGUUGAUUCGAAACGGGAAAAAUCUCGUUAUAUGUCGUCAUUUCAAGAACCAAGCAAGAAACGUAAUACUUUAUGACCCAUUAAGUCGCCUUCAAGAGAUAAAAAUGGUGUGCACUGAUCUACUGACGAAAAUAGUAUUGGGCACAGUGUUUUUGGUAUACACUUCAGUACAUUCAUUAGAAACCGGGUACGAUUAUUCAGGCGAACAUGUUGAAAAAGAUGAACUCUACAAGGAUUUAAGAUGCGGAUACCUGUUUAACGGGUAUACAUACAUGCGGAUAAUUAAGCUUUUAUUUGAAGAACCUUAUAAUAUGACAUUUAAUAUGGCGGUUGGCACCAUAAGUUAUGUAAACGGUUUAGUAAAAUCCCAGGUAGCUACGCUAAUCGCUUUAAAAGAAAUACGCGUUGGGGCCAUGUGGGUACUACAUUUGUUCACCAGCCUAAUAUCCAGUUUUCACCAGAUUCCAACAAAUUCACACCAAAGCUAUAGGAAUGUUAUCGAAACUCUCAGCUAUGUCAUUGAAAAACUGAAGGACGACCUAGCCGGGUGUCGUAAAGGUAAUUCAUUCGACUCAUAUGACAUCAUGUUGAAGUCAGGUCAGAAGUUAGGAUUCAAUGAUAUCAAGAAAAGUUUAAUAAAACAACACAUGAGGAAAGCCUGGGAUCUGCUUAACAACAACAAUAUAAUUAGAGAUUGUGCGUUGAAAGAUAAACUAGAAAUUAAUUUAAAACUUAAUUGGCUUUUUUUUGGGCAACCUGGGUAUUUAUAAUGAACUCAAAGAAGACUUGAAAAAUUUAUAUAACUUAAG
Molecule: long non-coding RNA, 945 nt
Organism: Adelges cooleyi (spruce gall adelgid)
Lineage: Eukaryota; Metazoa; Arthropoda; Insecta; Hemiptera; Adelgidae
Exons: 3
Source: RefSeq, a predicted model, not a curated record